Small nucleolar RNA from Arabis alpina (gray rockcress), 85 nucleotides. It matches the Rfam family "Small nucleolar RNA U54". From Rfam's summary of the family: U54 is a C/D box small nucleolar RNA, which acts as a methylation guide for 18S ribosomal RNA in plants. NCBI's taxonomy places the organism in Eukaryota, Viridiplantae, Streptophyta, Magnoliopsida, Brassicales, Brassicaceae. The record is from Rfam.
GGCUCGGUGAUUACUUUGCCUUUAUGGCAGUAUACGCUAUUCUGAAAGAGUAUGAAAGAUAAAUACAUUAAUUUUAAUGAGAGCC